Molecule: non-coding RNA, 115 nt
Filed under: Rufibacter tibetensis
Lineage: Bacteria; Pseudomonadati; Bacteroidota; Cytophagia; Cytophagales; Hymenobacteraceae
Description: SAM-I sequence
Rfam family: SAM riboswitch aptamer (S box leader)
About the family: The SAM riboswitch is found upstream of a number of genes which code for proteins involved in methionine or cysteine biosynthesis in Gram-positive bacteria. The SAM riboswitch acts at the level of transcription termination control.
Source: Rfam by way of RNAcentral
GAUUUAUAAAGAAGAGCGGAGAGACAGGCUCAAUGAAGCUCUAGCAACCUACCAGCCGUGUAAGGUGCUAAUUCCUGAUCCCAGGGGACAUAUUGCCACCUGGGGAAUAUAAAUU